Molecule: non-coding RNA, 373 nt
Organism: Myripristis murdjan (pinecone soldierfish)
Lineage: Eukaryota; Metazoa; Chordata; Actinopteri; Holocentriformes; Holocentridae
Source: the annotation of a RefSeq genome assembly
CCAGAAGAACAACAAGAAGACCAGAAUGUCUUUCAUCGGCAUCUGCGUCUUGGCCGUCACUUUCUACACCCAAGGGUGUACAGCAGACAUUUUGGUGACCCAGACUCCAGAAUCAUUGGAGGUCCAGCAGGGAGGUUCUGCCACCAUCAGUUGUACAGCCAGCAGUGCCAUCGAUGAUGACUUAGCCUGGCACCAUCAGAAACCAGGAGGAGCUCCUAAAUUCAUCAUGACUUUUAGCAGUGGUUUCACUAAAGGUCGAUACAAAGGCAGUGGAUAUGAUAUUGAGCUCAAUCUGACCAUCAGCAAUGUCCAGGCAGAAGAUUCAGGAGUUUAUUACUGUCAGCAACAUGAUGCCUUUCCAUUCACACAGUGA